This 253-nucleotide ribosomal RNA is filed under the name uncultured bacterium. Its description in RNAcentral is "partial 16S ribosomal RNA". It matches the Rfam family "Bacterial small subunit ribosomal RNA", at positions 524 to 776 of the family's 1533-position model. The record is from RNAcentral.
UACAGAGGAGCCAAGCGUUGUCCGGAUUGACUGGGCGUAAAGCGCACGCAGGCGGAUGCGCGCGUGGGGUGUGAAAUCUGGCCGCUUAACGGCCAGGCGCCAUCCCAUACGGCGCGUCUGGAGUGAUGCAGAGGUCGAUGGAAUUGCCGGUGUAGUGGUGAAAUGCGUAGAUAUCGGAAGGAACAUCAGUGGCGAAGGCGACUUCCUGGACCAAUACUGACGCUCAGGUGCGAAAGCGUGGGGAGCAAACAGG